Molecule: ribosomal RNA, 179 nt
Filed under: uncultured bacterium
Lineage: Bacteria
Description: partial 16S ribosomal RNA
Rfam family: Bacterial small subunit ribosomal RNA
Source: RNAcentral
UGAAGCUGGAAUUGCUAGUAAUGGCAGGUCAGCAUACUGCCGUGAAUACGUUCCCGGGCCUUGUACACACCGCCCGUCACACCAUGAGAGUUGGAAAUACCCGAAGCCUGUGAGCUAACUUAAAGAGGCAGCAGUCGAAGGUAGAGCCAAUGAUUGGGGUGAAGUCGUAACAAGGUAGC